UUUUGGUUUUAGACACCGGUGGAUCGGCUAGA
Molecule: non-coding RNA, 32 nt
Filed under: Syntrophotalea carbinolica DSM 2380
Lineage: Bacteria; Pseudomonadati; Thermodesulfobacteriota; Desulfuromonadia; Desulfuromonadales; Syntrophotaleaceae
Source: RNAcentral